Armigeres subalbatus is the source of this 263-nucleotide long non-coding RNA. RefSeq lists it as uncharacterized. NCBI's taxonomy places the organism in Eukaryota, Metazoa, Arthropoda, Insecta, Diptera, Culicidae. The record is from RefSeq and is a predicted model, not a curated record. The transcript has 3 exons.
CAGUGCUCCUCGAUAUGCAAUGUUUUUUCGCUGAAAUUCGAAGGUUUCCAUCAUUUUAUAACUAAAAACUACAUGUUUUUUUGUGCAUUGGUUCGGUAUUUCCAAAUAUACUAUAUUAACAAUAUAGUUCACUCUGGCUGAUUCCAACGGACAACACAGUAGCGACGCGGUGUCACAAAGGGCAAGCAAUGCGUUAGUUACCCUUUGUGACGCAAGAUGGUGUGAUUAUGCUGUCCGUUGCCUAAUAUAUGGAGAUUUAUGAA